This 245-nucleotide long non-coding RNA is filed under the name Hordeum vulgare. RNAcentral describes it as "long non-coding RNA (HVUL_LNC004319)". Lineage: Eukaryota; Viridiplantae; Streptophyta; Magnoliopsida; Poales; Poaceae. The record is from RNAcentral.
ACUAACUAAUGUAGUCAGUUCUAUCAUAUUUUUUGAGAAAUCAACCCAUCCAUUGUUAAUUCCACCAUGACGAGAAAUUGAACGGGACGAGCAAAGCAAAACAAAGAGGCUACGUGAAUUGAUCAAUGGACUGUUAUCUUAUUUCACUCAUGGAGUAGAGAAUGUGGGAUCAGAUGACAAACUGAAGGUGGUGUUCCAUUCUCUGUCUUCACAACAAUACAAUAUUACAUUCAAUACAUUCAUUC